This 5957-nucleotide ribosomal RNA is filed under the name Triticum aestivum (bread wheat). RNAcentral's name for it is "partial small subunit ribosomal RNA". The record is from RNAcentral. Lineage: Eukaryota; Viridiplantae; Streptophyta; Magnoliopsida; Poales; Poaceae.
UACCUUAGCAGCCCCUCGUGGAGCGUGUCGGGGCUGUUUCAGGGUAGCGGCGUACGUCGCGUCCAAUGACUUCGACAUCGUUACUCUUACCAGGAGGACCUACGAGAACGUAGGAUGCACCCUUCAUACGAGUGUCCCUACCGUGUUCUUCCUCACACCUACGACGAGCCACAGAGCCCGCUCUAGCUCUCGUACCUCCUGUUCGAGUCCCUGGAAUUCUUGAAGGAACGGCUACGGCUAGCCGCCUUGUAGUGUCUACUUAGUCAAAACCCGACCCAACUUCUUGAGUUUGCGCGGUACAUGCCCCGUUGGCUGUAGGAACUGGAGACGGUCGAGUUCCGGUACCUUUCGCGAGGUAGUCAUCGAUCGGACCCCACAAAAUUGGGAAACGAGGAGACAUGUUCCUUAGGAAACGUACGGGCGCUGUAACCGUGGGCAUAGUUCCAGGACUUGUCCUUCGAACUACUAUAGUCGCUCGCACCACGAUUUCCGAAGAUAGAACCAAAUAGAUUCCUGGCACCUCCAUCCUACGUGCGGAUAGUAACGGUGCGUGCGCUCUGUACACCCAACGAACUGGCCAGCGUACAACAACCCCUCUUCUAGCUUCUUCUGUGUUUUCGUAAUCACCGGUUCUAGUAUGUUUGUUCUUUGCUCCAGUUGUUGUUUUAGCGCCACGAGCGGCAGGAUCCACAGACACCCCAACCGUUCUGGUGGGAGCGCGUCUACCAGAAAGUGCUGCUCCGGUAGGUUCCACUCAAACUGUACUACUAUACCGACUCGCAGUUGUUCCUGAAGUUACCCCAACUCGACGAUUCCCGGCGUUAGUUAGAACGGCCCCCUCAUGUGUGUCCAGUACCUCUCUACAGACACGAGACCGGUUAGGAAUGGCGACGGAACUGUCCCUUCUUCCAGGACGACCACUACCUACUACAAACCUUGGUACGUCGUACCCUCCUACACGAGCUUUCUGGUAAACAAGACCGACGACGAGUUCCAUCAGCUCACGAGUAAUGGUGCUCUUUACUUUCUCAACGGGUUCGCUACCCUCGGCUCGUAGGCAUAGUGGCACAGUUAUUUAAUCCAGGUCUUCUACGGACCAGUAAUGAUUUCUUUGUCCAUCGCUGGUCACUCUGUCUACUUAGACUCUAACUAUUCGAUUUCCUAUAACCUAACGUCUAAUGUCGUUUUACACCACCAAACGGUGAACGACAAUUUCACUACCCUCCUAACAACACAGUCUUCCUGUCUUUUACCGCACUCACCCUCUACCAAGACCUACUGACAUGAGGUUCUACAGUUAACGUGCUCCUCGAUUUGGUGAGUCACAUGAAUUCGAUACUUCUCGACAGAGGAACAUACUUUGUCACGAAAGACAAGAUGAGUAAAGAGGUAUGUUUAUGUCACAAGAUACUCUUACUGUAACAACCGUACACCUAAUCACUUCCAAAAUAAAUGCCUUUGAGUCUUCUAAACCUUCUAAAUCCUUCAUUCACGAUAUCGCUCGAAUAUGACUCCUUGGAAUAUCUCGGUCUACGUUCGCUACCUAGUCUUAGUCUAUACAACCAUACCUCAGAAGAUGUUCCUGUCUUUAGUAACUCUUGUGAUUAUAGUUAACCGGUCUAUUUCGUAGUUGAACCACUAAGUAACUAAUCGAAAGGUUCAGAUGCCCGGGAUGUAUAUCUUAGGCGUUUACGACGACGUGACCAACUUAGAAACACAGAUGAAUUCGUGGACUCCAUAAACAGACAUCGUGUGUGACUACAUAGAUCAGAAGGUCUUUUGUAGUUGUGCUACUUUAAGAACGUCGUAUAAUUGGAGGUCCCGACACUUUCAAAACUCUUUGAAGGACUAUCGUAAUAUUUCGAUCUCGUCGACUCCAUAGAUUUGGAAUUACUGUGUCCAUAUUUACAAUAUGGAGCCCCAAAAGCACCAGAUUAUUUAAACUCCUUUAAUAUACCCAAAGGUCGGGUAUACCUACCGCUGACCACAUCAGAACUUCUCAACUCCGGAGAAAGGGUCAAUUCUCUUUAACCUAACUUCCCAAACCUCUUACAUCGACGAUGGAACAAACGGCGUUUCCGGUCCGAACCACUCUUCCACGUAGAAUGGAUGAACUUCAAUCUCGCGUGGUCGUCUAGCCCUCCACUACUCAACCAAUUCCUUCCUUCUCCACGGAAAGUCCUACUUCUUGUUGUUUAACUCUUCCACAAACUACUCGAGAUGGGUGGUGGCCAGGAUUCAUAAGAACUGUAGGUUCCUAUGAAACCAGACGUCGAGGGUAAAACCUACUCUUGUCUCCUGGCAGAAUUCUUGGACCAACAAGACUGCUACCUUCUAAACCGAACGACGUGGGUCGAAGGUACAACGAACUCAGUCGAAGGGAUAAAUUUCCAGGAAUUCUAACUUGCUCGGGGUCGGUAGUCGUCACAACCCGGACUUAAGAAACCUCAAAGGCUUGUAGUAUUGGUCUGCCACUGAUACAAAGGGGCAAACGUACUUGACCAGAAGAGACCUUACCACUUCACCCUCCUCACCCACACCCUCCUUGUCAAUUUACGGUACGGGCGGGACCUCCUCGAAGACCAGCUAUCGACGUUUGACUCCUCGAAAGGAGGACCGGAACGGAAGGUGCGUUCCCGAAACUUUGCUAACCAAUAAUGGCGCCGAGAUUUGGAGUUGAGAGAACUAUCAAAACGAAGACAACAACUCGAAGUACACAUAAAGUCAGGUUUCGACUGUUCAUAUCGAUUAGAGGUACUCGACGUUUUCGAGUGUUAGUAAAAGACGGGUUUCGACCUCUGUAACUAACCACAAGGACGUUAGGCUUCUGAACACGACCUCCUAAUACUGUACCUUUGUGAGGGCUCUAUGGAAGUUCUACAUCCCUUGGACUCGGAAAACGUCGAUCUGACGUCGGAUCUCGAAGAGUGCAGGUAUCGGUACCCCGUUGGACCUGGUCUCACCUUUUUCAUGUCGGUACAGUUCGUACAGUUCCGUAUACGCGUACUACCUCUGUUAGUUUCCCUUACCAUACACAAUAUGUGUUUUCUAGGGAUGUUUAAGCUCUGCUUGUAGUCGGUUGCGAGAAGGUUUGACCUUCGACAACCGUUUCCACUUCUGUUCGAAUAACCGUCUCUCCGUCUUGUUGAAGAACCGUAUCUGUCGAGCUCACCGAGUCGUCAGUCGCUUCUAUUGGCUCUUGAACAACCUUAACUUUUAGGUACAGUUAUAGAUUAGUUUAACGACUGCGUACCACUACUCCUUCUUGAUUUUUACCAGAGGUAAACACCUUGACCUCCAAACCCAUUUUGCUGUCAACGGGUACGUCAAAUAUCCUUCUAACGUUUACUCAAAUUUAUAUUUCAAAAACAACUGUACGGGACAUUAGAACUGUAUUUUCACUAGUAACCUUGGUAUACACGACUUCAACCAACAGGAGCAGGGUUCAAACUUCUUACAACACAAGUCGUUGAUCAGCUGGCUGAGUUUUAUAAGAAACUUCCCUUUUCCAUGAACUAGCAAAAACUACCGAACAGCUGGUGUAGUCAUACCCUAGUUUAAGACGGACGUGACUUUCUAUUAUCUGUACCUUCAUCUUAUUAAUAAUGUUGGGCCUUACAGUCAUAACGACUUGUACAACCACCGGAAAUAGCAGACGGUGAAGAAAGAACGCUGCUGAGCUUGUACAAUAAGAAGGCUUCUUGUAAUAAACCGUCAUUUCUACUAACAGGAAGAGUUAAAUCUCUUAACAGACUCUUUUACAACUCAUCUACACCUGUCAAUGGUAAUCGGUAGUGACAGUAUUGACUAAACGACGGAUUUCUAUCCCACAACCUCCUUACCGUUUUCCACACACUAAGAUAACUUUCCCCAUUGCCAUACCUCUUAUAGUCUUCUCAAGAUUUUGUGUCAAUACUACUAGAUGGAGGUCUAGAGGUCUCUACGAACAACACAGAUUCAUAAAAGGGUCUCCCGAUACUCUAACCUUCUCUAUCAAACCACGUCUCUACCUAUAGACUUUUAAAUUAUACACCCCUCGUACCUGUCUUGAACGUCCUUGACCCACUCUCAAUAAAAAGACUUGAGCAUUUAAGAUUGGACUAGGUUGGCUAUCUUAAACUGCCAAGACCUUCCCUAGACCAAAUGGCACAUGGACAUUGUUGAGAACUAGAAUAACAACUAAACAGAUAAGCGCUCUUGAAACAAUGAUAUAAUGGAUCGGAUGUUGCUUGUCUAGAGGGUUCGCUCCAUGUUGCCAAUAGAGAGGCUCCGUCGUUACUCGUACUACUCGAUUUUCGUUAGUUCUUGUAACUGGUUCACUCAAGUGAGAGGGAGAAAUUACCACGACCAGGCUACGUCGGUGAAAGUUUCAAAGCUCCCGACGUUCACAAUGUAAAUGUCCUUACACUGAGACACUUCUUACUUCCACUAAGACACUUCUUACUUGCUCUAAGACACUUCUUACUUCCACAAAGACACUUCUUACUUGCUCUAAGACACUUCUUACUUGUAGAAUUGCCAGAACUCUCAAAUCUGUUCGACUCCAUGGACCAAGAUCCGUCGUCAGAAUAAUGACUCUAGGGGUUUUACUAGCCCUUUGAUGCGGUAGACGUCUAUGACCUAAACUGCCGUUGAGCACAUUUUCUCGACGGUAGGUCGUAACAAUUCGAAUGCUUUAACGCCGCCGACGAAUAAUUGUCUAGGUGUCUUCAUGGUCUAUUCUAAUAACCCUUUGAUCUUCGAGAUCUUCUUGACCACCUGUAACUAUAGAGGUUCAGAGAUUUAUAAGACGUUCUCUAACCAUGGUACGGUCUUGACUCCCACGAGUCGUAACGGAACACCAGCACCCUACUCGUAGUAUGGUGUGAAGAGAGGCUCUAAUAAACGUUUGACCGAUACUUCUUUGAGUCUGUAGAGAGAUAGACGAGAACGACAAAUGAUCUAAACUUCAGUCUAAAUGUCGGUCAAGAGGUUGAACUUUUCGAACUCUAUGUCCCGUCGUAUAAGCUGUUUAAUGGUUGUACCUAAUUGUCUGAGUGGGUAGAGGCGAGGAACAGGUAGCUCUAGAUGAGGAACCUUUUCUUACGAGAACUUCAUGAACCUUUUAAUCUCUUAGAAGAAAAGGAUAGGGAACAACGUUUCUCCUAGCGUCCUCUUUUCGAUCACUAACAAUUUUUAUGUAAGACAUGGGACGUCUGAAAAGAAGACAAGUUAGUACGGUACCGCUAUCUCAAGCUUGUUCCUCGAUACCUCUUUGAAGUUUCCGAAUUCAAUUGCGACGUCCGUAGUGACUGUUUCUGCCUACUAGAAACAAAUCCGGACCUAUGAGAGAGAAGUGAAGUCGUACAGGUACAACUUUAAUAGACGAAGUCACGGUGCCUACCCCGACACUUCCGUCGACUCUGACGUUAGCUCUCGUACUAACCUUUAUUGGGACCAUUCGGAUCUGAACUUUACUUUUCUUAACUCCUCUUUAUAUACUGUCUUCUGUUUUUCUUUCUUCGUCUGAGACUUUAGUUCCCUCUUCUACUUCUAGUUCUUAGUGAGACGGACCGUUUCGUCCUUCUUUUCUGACAAUGUAGUUUCUUCUUCUCGUCCUCCCGUUCCUUCUUCUUGUUCUCCGUAGUGAUCUUUGUUACUUAUAGCCACGGAAGUGGAUGGACCCACACCUGAAGGUAAAAAUAAAAACAAACACAAGACAUAAACGAAGGCAAACGAGCACUUAAGUACUUGAUAGUGGUCGUCCCACGGUACACGUGUUGUAGUCUUGAAAUAUUAGACAUUAUCCUGUUCAGUAGAGCCAUGAAUUUUUGGCGGCGUAGCACCACGACGGUCAAAAAAACGGGGUAUCGGGUUUAGGCCCACCACCCAAAAAGACCGCCAUGCCACGAAUGUUGAGAGACAGAUUAAAGAACAACAAGUAAAUAACGGCAACACUUUAUAUUACUUCUUACUCC